RNAcentral lists this ribosomal RNA (439 nucleotides) under uncultured bacterium. Its description in RNAcentral is "partial 16S ribosomal RNA". It matches the Rfam family "Bacterial small subunit ribosomal RNA", at positions 339 to 795 of the family's 1533-position model. The record is from RNAcentral.
CUACGGGAGGCACCAGUGAGGAAUAUUGCACAAUGGGGGGAACCCUGAUGCAGCAACGCCGCGUGGAGGAUGACGCAUUUCGGUGUGUAAACUCCUUUUAUAUGUCAAGAAAAUGACGGUAGCAUAUGAAUAAGCACCGGCUAACUCCGUGACAGCAGCCGCGGUAAUACGGAGGGUGCAAGCGUUACUCGGAAUCGCUGGGCGUAAAGGACGCGUAGGCGGGUUGGAAAGUCAGGUGUGAAAUCCUACAGCUUAACUGUAGAACUGCACUUGAAACUUCUAAUCUAGAGUAUGGGAGGGGGAGAUGGAAUUAGUGGUGUAGGGGUAAAAUCCGUAGAUAUCACUAGGAAUACCUAAAGCGAAGGCGAUCUCCUGGAACAUUACUGACGCUAAGGCGUGAAAGUGUGGGGAGCAAACAGGAUUAGAUACCCCGGUAGUC